AGUGAACGCUGGCGGUAGGCCUAACACAUGCAAGUCGAACGGCAGCACAGUAAGAGCUUGCUCUUACGGGUGGCGAGUGGCGGACGGGUGAGGAAUACAUCGGAAUCUACUUUUUCGUGGGGGAUAACGUAGGGAAACUUACGCUAGUACCGCAUACGACCUACGGGUGAAAGCAGGGGAUCUUCGGACCUUGCGCGAUUGAAUGAGCCGAUGUCGGAUUAGCGAGUUGGCGGGGUAAAGGCCCACCAAGGCGACGAUCCGUAGCUGGUCUGAGAGGAUGAUCAGCCACACUGGAACUGAGACACGGUCCAGACUCCUACGGGAGGCAGCAGUGGGGAAUAUUGGACAAUGGGCGCAAGCCUGAUCCAGCCAUACCGCGUGGGUGAAGAAGGCCUUCGGGUUGUAAAGCCCUUUUGUUGGGAAAGAAAAGCAGCAGGUUAAUACCCCGCUGUUCUGACGGUACCAAAAGAAUAAGCACCGGCUAACUUCGUG
This 492-nucleotide ribosomal RNA is filed under the name uncultured bacterium. RNAcentral's name for it is "partial 16S ribosomal RNA". It matches the Rfam family "Bacterial small subunit ribosomal RNA", at positions 29 to 507 of the family's 1533-position model. The record is from RNAcentral.